GGUCCUGUGGCCUAAUGGAUAAGGCGUCUGACUUCGAAUCAGACGAUUGCAGGUUCGAGUCUUGCCAGAAUUG
RNAcentral lists this transfer RNA (73 nucleotides) under Dreissena polymorpha. It matches the Rfam family "tRNA". From Rfam's summary of the family: Transfer RNA (tRNA) molecules are approximately 80 nucleotides in length. Their secondary structure includes four short double-helical elements and three loops (D, anti-codon, and T loops). Further hydrogen bonds mediate the characteristic L-shaped molecular structure. tRNAs have two regions of fundamental functional importance: the anti-codon, which is responsible for specific mRNA codon recognition, and the 3' end, to which the tRNAs corresponding amino acid is attached (by aminoacyl-tRNA synthetases). tRNAs cope with the degeneracy of the genetic code in two manners: having more than one tRNA (with a specific anti-codon) for a particular amino acid; and 'wobble' base-pairing, i.e. permitting non-standard base-pairing at the 3rd anti-codon position. Lineage: Eukaryota; Metazoa; Mollusca; Bivalvia; Myida; Dreissenidae. The record is from Rfam by way of RNAcentral.